This 631-nucleotide long non-coding RNA is filed under the name Phaseolus vulgaris (common bean). RNAcentral's name for it is "long non-coding RNA (PVUL_LNC003379)". The record is from RNAcentral. Lineage: Eukaryota; Viridiplantae; Streptophyta; Magnoliopsida; Fabales; Fabaceae.
UAUUUUGAUUUUGGGAGAUCUCAACUACAAUAAUGAGAGGGCAAGUGGAGAAGGGGCAAGCCACAGUCCUUGCGAUUGCCAGGGAGAAUCUGGACACCCUAUUUUGGGAAAUGGCAAAAACUGUGAAUGUGUGCUGGAAAAAGAGGUAUCUGAGCGUAAAGAUUGUUGGAUGGUGGCUAUAUAGGUGGAGCAGGACCAACACACUCGGAUUCAAAGUUGAAUAUUUCGGCUAAGGAAACUGUGAAAUGCUUUAAUGAGACCUCAUACACAAACAUGCAGUCAGAUAAUUACUCUUCUGAAUUAUUUACAUAUUAUAUUUACGAGAUAAAUAUAAGUUCUACUACCUAAGCACACGAGUUUAAACACUGUACGUAAACCCAACAAAAGUAGUACAUGGACUUGAGCUAAAACGCAGCUAUUCCAAAUUUCUUGUAGUUUUCGACAAUGUUAUGUCUUUGAUUACUUUGUCAUUGUCAAAGUCACCAUAAAAUAAGCUUACAUGAGUAAUGUUACAUUUAUCAAUGAUACGAAUCCAAUUCUAAAUUCCCUACGAAGAGAAGAUACAUUUGAAUCUUUUAAAUUUCAAUCAUCUAAGUGUUGUGUUUCUAACAUUAACCAUGGUUUGUGUGGC